CGGCGGUCAUAGCGUUGGGGAAACGCCCGGUUCCAUUCCGAACCCGGAAGCUAAGCCUAACUGCGCCGAUGGUACUGCACUCGGGAGGGUGUGGGAGAGUAGGACGCCGCCGAAAUU
RNAcentral lists this ribosomal RNA (117 nucleotides) under Dermabacter vaginalis. Lineage: Bacteria; Bacillati; Actinomycetota; Actinomycetes; Micrococcales; Dermabacteraceae. The record is from RNAcentral.